RNAcentral lists this long non-coding RNA (221 nucleotides) under Manihot esculenta (cassava). Its description in RNAcentral is "long non-coding RNA (MESC_LNC007179)". The record is from RNAcentral. Lineage: Eukaryota; Viridiplantae; Streptophyta; Magnoliopsida; Malpighiales; Euphorbiaceae.
GAGGAAGGACGCACCUGUGGACGGUGGAUGGCGGCAGACCGUGGAUGGCGGUAGACGAUGGUUGGCGGCAGCGGACGAUGGUUAGCGACGGCUGAUGAUGGAUGGCGAUAACGGUGAAAGACCCAGAGAGGUUGGACGCUCAGAGAGAUUUUGAUUUCUCAAUCUCACGACACUCGUGGACUGUGAUGCCGAGGAAGGACGCACCUGUGGACGGUGGAUGG